Molecule: ribosomal RNA, 385 nt
Filed under: uncultured bacterium
Lineage: Bacteria
Description: bacterial SSU rRNA
Rfam family: Bacterial small subunit ribosomal RNA
Source: RNAcentral
CUAAGAAUCUUCCGCAAUGGGCGAAAGCCUGACGGAGCGACGCCGCGUGAACGAAGAAGGCCGUGAGGUUGUAAAGUUCUUUUCGGGAGGGGGAAUGACCGUGGCAGGGAAUGGCCGCGGGAUGACGUGAAUCCCGGAACAAGCCCCGGCUAACUACGUGCCAGCAGCCGCGGUAACACGUAGGGGGCGAGCGUUGUUCGGAAUCAUUGGGCGUAAAGGGCGUGCAGGCGGCACUGCAAGUCCGGCGUGAAAGACCCCGGCCCAACCGGGGGGGUGCGCUGGAAACUGCGGUGCUUGAGUACAGGAGGGGAUGCCGGAAUUCCAGGUGUAGGGGUGAAAUCUGUAGAUAUCUGGAAGAACACCGAUGGCGAAGGCAGGCAUCUGG